AGUGGCGGACGGGUGAGUAACGUGUGAGUAACCUGCCUUCAAGAGGGGGAUAACAUUCUGAAAAGAAUGCUAAUACCGCAUGACAUAUCGGGAUCACAUGAUUUUGAUAUCAAAGAUUUUAUCGCUUGAAGAUGGACUCGCGUCCGAUUAGUUAGUUGGUGAGGUAACGGCUCACCAAGACCGCGAUCGGUAGCCGGACUGAGAGGUUGAACGGCCACAUUGAGACUGAGACACGGCCCAGACUCCUACGGGAGGCAGCAGUGGGGGAUAUUGCGCAAUGGGGGCAACCCUGACGCAGCAACGCCGCGUGAAGGAUGAAGGUUUUCGGAUUGUAAACUUCUUUUAUUAAGGACGAAAAAUGACGGUACUUAAUGAAUAAGCUCCGGCUAACUACGUGCCAGCAGCCGCGGUAAUACGUAGGGAGCAAGCGUUGUCCGGAUUUACUGGGUGUAAAGGGUGCGUAGGCGGCUUUGCAAGUCAGAUGUGAAAUCUAUGGGCUCAACCCAUAAACUGCAUUUGAAACUGUAGAGCUUGAGUGAAGUAGAGGCAGGCGGAAUUCCCCGUGUAGCGGUGAAAUGCGUAGAGAUGGGGAGGAACACCAGUGGCGAAGGCGGCCUGCUGGGCUUUAA
Molecule: ribosomal RNA, 629 nt
Filed under: uncultured Lachnospiraceae bacterium
Lineage: Bacteria; Bacillati; Bacillota; Clostridia; Lachnospirales; Lachnospiraceae
Description: bacterial SSU rRNA
Rfam family: Bacterial small subunit ribosomal RNA
Source: RNAcentral